GCUGCUUCUUGCUCCUGUCUCAGAAUAAAAAAGGAGUACUGCUUUCCUGGGGUAUGCCAUUUGAGAAAGAAAGUAACCUAACACUAACUGCAGGCGGGGUCAGAGUGAUGUAACAGGAAGCUCUGAUGUUUCCCUUCUGCUGCUGAGCACAUACAAUGUGACAACUCUUCCAGUCCACUCAGAACAACAGUCUCUCCAGCAGAGUGUCACCUCCUGCCUUAGGAUCACCAAGCUCUGCUAACUGGACCUCACUCUGCCUCCAGGAUCAUAUUGCAAGGCUUUCACCCUUCCCCACCUUGCCUGGGGGUACAUUUCCUCUGCGGAAUCUCAGAAAAUCAAAUUCCAUCCUAAGAAUAGUUCACCAAGAAUUUCCUUAGGAGCUGUUCUGGGGUCCUACGAUGAUACACCAACCACUUGUGCUACCACCAGUCAAAACUAUGGAUGGCCCCACCUUCAGGUCAUGACCUCCAGAUUUAAGACAUUCUUCAAGACAAUUUUGAAUAGGAUCCAAGAGAAAAUGUGAUUUGAGUCUGGAGACAAUUGUGAUUGUAAGUAUCAGAAAAUUAGAUUUUUCUCAUG
This 579-nucleotide long non-coding RNA is filed under the name Bos mutus (wild yak). RNAcentral's name for it is "lncRNA (ENSBMUG00000022928.1)". Lineage: Eukaryota; Metazoa; Chordata; Mammalia; Artiodactyla; Bovidae. The record is from RNAcentral.